AUUGAACGCUGGCGGCAGGCCUAACACAUGCAAGUCGAACGAGUGGCGGACGGGUGAGUAAUGUCUGGGAAACUGCCUGAUGGAGGGGGAUAACUACUGGAAACGGUAGCUAAUACCGCAUACCAUCAGAUGUGCCCAGAUGGGAUUAGCUUGUUGGUGGGGUAACGGCUCACCAAGGCGACGAUCCCUAGCUGGUCUGAGAGGAUGACCGCCCACACGGGAACGUAGAAACGGUCCAGACUCCUACGGGAGGCAGCAGGGGGGAAUAUUGCACAAGGGGCGAAAGCCUGAUGGAGCAAUGCCGCGUGGAUGAAGAAGGCCUUGGGGUUGGAAAUUACUUUCAGGGGGGAGGCGUUACCGGAAGAAGAAGCACCGGCUAACCCCGUGCCAGCCGCCGCGGUAAUAC
This 406-nucleotide ribosomal RNA is filed under the name uncultured bacterium. RNAcentral describes it as "partial 16S ribosomal RNA". It matches the Rfam family "Bacterial small subunit ribosomal RNA", at positions 29 to 526 of the family's 1533-position model. The record is from RNAcentral.